This 76-nucleotide small RNA is filed under the name Pseudomonas oryzihabitans. RNAcentral's name for it is "sX9 sRNA". It matches the Rfam family "Xanthomonas sRNA sX9". Lineage: Bacteria; Pseudomonadati; Pseudomonadota; Gammaproteobacteria; Pseudomonadales; Pseudomonadaceae. The record is from RNAcentral.
AUGUACCGCUCGUACACUGCGGUUCCUGCGCGCCGCACACACCCACCUGACAGCCGCUCGCGACGUUUUGUCAGCC